UUCUCAAGUUCAAUUUUCUUUCAUCUGGCGGAGAUUAUUACGGAACUCACAAGUGGCACUGGUACUUCUCUCAAGGAUUUACAGUCAUGCUCUUCACAUUCUUACCAUUUUCAAUUGCUGGCAGCAUAAAGUCUAAAUGCUGGAAGCUCUCUGGACUCAUUGCAUGGGUUUUAAUUGUUUACAGUAUUCAGGGGCAUAAAGAAUUCAGGUACUCUCUAUUUGGUAUAUUUUCCUUUUUUUUUCUUUGCGUCCUUGUUUUGUAUGGAAACUGAUUGGCUCAUGUUUCUAAAUUAGCUUAUCCUCUAAUAAACUGAGUUACAGGUUUGUGUUGCCUAUGCUCCCGAUAGCUUUGAUGUUCUCUGGAUAUUCGUUAUCUGUUAUGGCAAAAUCUGAUUCUGAUAGUAGAAGAAAAGGUUCUCCUAACAGUCACAUGAAAAGGCCCUCAAAAGUGGGAUUUGCCAUCUUUUUCUUGCUUGCCACUAACAUUCCGAUGGCCUUGUACAUGAGCUUGGUUCAUCAGGUAUGUGAGAUACCUCCUCAACUUUACCAAAUACAAAGCUGAUCAGAAGCCUUGUCCGCUUCAACAGCUGAACUUUUAAUGUGGCUUAUUGCUUUGAUGUUAUUCCUGUUUUGGCUUUUUGGUUAUUUUAUCUUCUCUAAUUUAGUUGAGAAAUAAAAUGGGAAAAUGCUAUAUAUCAAACCCUGAGAAAGAAAAAAGAAUGAAUAGUAGGGAGCUCUCAAAGAAAAAGGUUCAUAUUAGUACCUUUUUUCCCCCUUGUAUUCUUCUGUUGAUCUUACUUGUGAUUAUGCUAGACAGAGAGGAACUGAGGAUGUCAUGAUUUAUCUAUCCAAAGAAGCGCAAAAUGAGAAAGUAAAGGGUAUCCUGUUUCUAAUGCCCUGCCAUGCCACUCCUUACUACUCCACACUGCAUUAUGAUCUGCCAAUGCGUAUUCUGGAUUGUUCUCCAAGGUUUGGAGUUUAGCAAUUUGGUUAAGAGUAUAUUUCUUGAAAUGCUAUUGUUAAUAGUUCUUAAUUAUGGUCUGAUAUCUCAUUCAACAGUGAAGAGAAAGGAAUCCCAGAUGAGUCAGACCACUUCAUGAUGGAUCCUGUUAGUUUUGUAACACGGAUGACAAACGGGUCUUUGCCUAGUCAUGUUGUAUUAUUUGAUUCUGAGGAGAAGUUGUUAAGAGAUUUUCUGAUUUCACAUUCUUUCACAGAGGUACAUGCGGAACCUAUGUCAAUAUAUAGUUUUGCUUUCAGUGUUACCAUAUCUUCUUUGUAGCUAAGUUUAAAAUAUAAUGGCAGAUAAGAAGGUUUUUCCAUGCCCACUUCAAGGUGGACCGUGAUCUUCAAGCAUCAGUGGUUGUAUAUGCUUUGGCUAACUAGUGGUAAUUGUUCUAUUUUUUGUGCAGUCAGUCAUAUCCAAGUCACAGGUUUCUGAUAAUUUUGUCCCUUUUCUUUCCCAAGAUUAAUUUGUUGUAGAAAUACUUCUUUGCCACUUUUGAUCUAUGGAACAUACUUCCUCACUUGAAGGGAAUUUUUGUUGUUGGUAUGGUGUACAUUGAUAUGUUCUUAUUUUAAAAUUUAUGUAGUGAUUGUCGUUGUCAUACCACAGUGCCAUGAUGUUUGAAAAAACAUUAUCCAAACGCAUCAUCAUGAUCCUUGAUUGGCAUCUCUUAGAAGUUAACAAUUGAGAAGUGCUAAAUCAACAGUCGAAUUAUGUGGGAAGACAGCACAGGUAAAAACAUAAUUUUUGCAUUUUAAGUAACUGUUAUUCAUAUGCCAAUUUCUUGCAAGCUCCUGUGGUUAAGAAAAGAGGAUUUGUAAUAAUUGUUUCCUUUCAGCAAAGACCUUCUGAUUUCAACUAGUCUUGAUCUCUGCUACCUCAAUUGGAAGUUUGUUAAUUCGAUAAUGACUUGAAGUCACAUUUGUGGUGACUUCAUUACAUAAUCCGAAGUGAAAUCAGGAAAAAAAUAUCACGGUCCUUUCUUUUAGGUAAAACGUUAAAUAUUCGUUGACGGGAAUGGGAAUUGAUUUUUAUAUCUGGCAUUAUUCAAAGCAGUGUGAAUGUGGAUUCUGUGAUGUGUCUAAUCAAUUAGGAGUCAGCACAGCUCUAUAGAUUUUAAGAUAAAUGCCGUUAUUUCAUCUGUCAAUCUUGAAACAGUGAACUCCAAAUAAAAUGCCAAUAGUAUCUCUUAUGCAAGUUGGCCUACUUGACUCAGUAUAGCUCACAUUCUUUGAAUCUCCACUAUUUUUUCCAUGAAAGCUUGAGUUGCAUUUUGCCCAUAAUGAUCAUCUCAUGGCAGCCCUGAAAACCUAUGUCAAGUCUUGUUGGUGGGUGGAGUUGAAUGAGCCCAUUUGCAGCUAGAUUAGGUUCCUAAAGAGAGGGAAAAAAAAAAAAAAGCUGUGCAAGGACCACAUCUUGGAACAGGAGGUUCAUGAAUGUAAUUGCAAGCAUAGGCUCUACAGUUAUGGGUCAGUUUAUUUUAUAUAGGUGCCAAUUUUCUUAAGAAAAGUUGGAUUUGUUAAAUUUACUGUACACCUAUUAUGGUAGCAAGAAAUAAACCAGCCAGCAUCACUGAGACUCUCUGGCUGGAGUGGGAUGUUGACAAUUUACAGUAGAACAAAGAUUUAUUUGUCGGUUGGUGGGUGGAGUUGAAUGAGCCCAUUUGCAGCUAGAUUAGGUUCCUAAAGAGAGGAAAAAAAAAAAGCUGUGCAAGGACCACAUCUUGGAACAGGAGGUUCAUGAAUGUAAUUGCAAGCAUAGGCUCUACAGUUAUGGGUCAGUUUAUUUUAUAUAGGUGCCAAUUUUCUUAAGAAAAGUUGGAUUUGUUAAAUUUACUGUACACCUAUCAUGGUAGCAAGAAAUAAACCAGCCAGCAUCACUGAGACUCUCUGGCUGGAGUGGGAUGUUGACAAUUUACAGUAGAACAAAGAUUUAUUUGUCGGUUCGUUUGGUCGGUUUAUACUGACAAUGUGCUCUGUAUUACAACUUCAUUGUUUACAUGGAGAAACGGAAAUGAAAUAGAAUUUCAGAACGAGAAAUGAGAAUGAGAGGUAAGUUAGAAUUACAGAAGCAUCCAUACCAAAUAAAGUACGAAGUGGUCCUCUCAACUUCAUGUUCCUCGAAAGGUCCUUUACAUGAGAUAUUCCUUGAAGGCCCUUGCCUUCUGGUCUCUCCAAAUAUUCCUUCCACAGUUCCACUCAACCAGUAAGCAGAUGGAAUAACAGUAACCAUAGCUGAGCAUUAUUACUUAAAAGGGAUUUUGAGUAUAUUAGAUACUUAAAUUGAAGUGGUUUAAGCAGCCUCAUAGAUGGUCGAGGCAAGUUUUAUUUUGAUAAUUUAACAUGAACCAGGACUUGUAUGACUCGUAUGAGAACACUCCCAGCAUCAGUGGGGAAUAUCAAAACCUUUCUACAGAAAUAAAAUUGUGUUCAUAAGUCAACUUCAAUGUGAGAAUUUUAAUUCAUGUGAAUUGUGAUUGUUUGCCACGCUUUCUUGUCUACUGCAUUAACUGCCUAAAAUAGUGUCUAGAGGCAAGCAAAAUCAAAUACGCUCCGUGAAGUUUACUAGCAUUUUCUAUUUGUGAUUUUUAGGAACAAAAGCUUAGAGUUUGUUUAAAAUGUGUAAAUAGAAAUCACAACAUGACAAAAUGUAACGGAUCUCGACAAGCUUUGCUCCAUAUCUCCCCCAUAUUCCUUUACACUAUUGUCCCAAGGGAGUGAAGCUCAUCUAUAUAUAAACCUGCUUUAUCCCUUAGGUCUUAAAGUCUCACAAAUAUCUUGACCUUUAGGAUUUCUUUCAUGACUAGACGUGCUUGCUAGUUAUCCAUGAAUAAAAGAGACAUGAAGGUGAAAAGGGGCGAUUUGAUAGCCAAAAAGAAGGUGAAGUUGGUUAAAUUUUCUUUGAAAAGAAAUAUUUCUACUUUGCAGAAAAUGAUUCGUGGUUGUGAAGAGGCUGAUGUUGAAACUUUGUUUCAGAAGUCUAUUGAUCAUAUUAUGAAACUAAAAUUGCAAGUCCAUAUUCUGAAGUGUCUCCUGCAGGUUUAUGAGAUUAAUUAGAUUGAGUUGCUUCGUGGCGUUGGCAUCUCAGCAACUGUAUACAAUGUAAGUGCCAAUUCCAUGUGUAACAUCAAGUUAUGAGUCUGCCUAGUCAUGUUGUAUCUUUCACAAAUUCAGCUUUUAGAUGCCACUCGCCAGUGUAAUUUCUGUCAGACACUUGUUCUUAAAGUUUGUGGACAUCAUAAUAAACUGCAAUAGCACUUGUUCCAACUUCUUUGUUACUAUGAUGAAUCAAGUUAUGUUUUGUUGGUUAUGUUUGUGUAAGUUCAAGAAAGCAAGAUCACCCAUGUUAUGCUCUGCUGCGUUUGUAAUAUUUAGUUGAUUCACUCAAAGAAUCGAGGCAUGUCAAGAGAUCAAUUAGAAACCCAUCUUCCCAUUCCAGCUAGCCAUUCUUAUUUUUCUUUUAGGCUUGUUAGUUUCUAUCUCUGACCCAAGUAUAAAUCUGUUCUUCCCUCUUCAAAGCCCCAUCGCCCCCAUCUCCUCCACUCCAAAACUUUUCUCACUGUUUUCGAAAGCUAGUCUUUGCCCUUGCUUUUCAGUAGCUAAAUGAUCUUAGGUCCAUCAUGCCCAUGCCUUUCAGCCCUAUGAGGGACAUAUUGCUUUAAUCAAUAUGAGAAGCUUUAAGACAUACAAAGACAUUAUCACUACCAUUACCCCCCUCUAAAUCAUGACCUGCAAUCACUUCAUAAUUUUCAAUCAUAUCUGGUGUGCUUUUACGCAUGAUUUAUCUACAGCGUUUAUGAUGUUUCUCAUGUAUCUUGUUUUGAUCCACCAUGACUUGAUUAUUAUUUUGGUAUCAAGUUCUGGUUGCAAAAUUAUUACCUAAGAUAGACCAUAAGACAGCUAUGUUCUUCUCUGAUUAAUCGCUUACACCAUUUGAAUAACAAUGUUUUGGACAUAAAAUACCUUAGAUUAUGAUAUCCCUGAAACAGUUUUUAUUUAUAUGUAUUAAACAAAAAAUAGAAUGUAAUUGAUAAUAAUUACAUAAUAAAAGUACAAAAUAUGCAAAUCGACCUGGCACAACAGAGUAGAUUAGCAGCUUCAGUGUUCAUAGAAUUGAAGCCCAUAGUUUGCAUAAGAAGUAGAGAGCAUGAGCAUGUGAUUAAUGGUUGUGGCCCAUGUCUUGUAACGAUGAUAAUCAUCCCCCAUAUCUAGCUUGAUUAUCCCCAUAUUGGUUGUUAACACGAUAAGAUAACAUGUAUGACCAGUCUCUCGAUCAGCUUCUAAAUCUUUGUACAACUCAGCAUGCAAGUCCAGUACAAUACCUGAAGCAUAUUUAUCGUACUCAUAAUGGUUAAUUCUCUGUUCUGUAUUUAGAAGAAAACUUAGUGCUACAUGUAGUAUUUAAGAUAAAGUAAUUAAAAGGAAAAAUGGAGAGCAGGAAUAGUAUAACCUACUUUCCUUCUUGCCUUUCAGGAUAUUGAGCUUCCUCAACUUAAGAAUAACCUGUAUAAUUAAUUCAAGGAUCAAUGGUUAAGAUUACACCAGAGAAAAAUUUACAUAAACUUCUAGUUUAAAGAAAUGUUAUGGAUGAUUGACUAUUUAAUCUCAACUGUCCAUGCAUGAUGAUGUCUUGUGAACUUUGAUGACCUCUGAUGAUUAAUGCAUUGCAGAAUCUGAAAUAAGACUAGAAUAUUAGUCAAACCUUGGCUUUGCUGCUAAGGAUGAUAGACACAGAUCUCACCCUGAAAUUUCCUGUUUACACAAAAAAUUAUAAUCAAGCAAAAUGCCAAAUGAUUUUACUAUUUAAACUAGCUGACAUUCCAGUAGUGACUUCUCCAUCAACAUACCAUCAGGUGUUUCAACAUGGAGCUCUGUUCCAUUGGCAAGUACUGAUCUACACUUCUCAAAGUCAAAAUCAAUGUCAUUGUUAUCCUCUAAAGGGAGAACUGGUGCAUUUAGUCUGUUCUUGCAUCCUGUUCUUGCUUUAAGGGUAGCAGCUCCUUUCAAUGCUACAAACAAUUGUAACCAAAAGCACACAACUAGGGAAGUAAGUGAACAAAACUCUCUGGGUUAGCAUAUUAUUGUUGCCAUGGCCCCAUUGUGAGGCCAAUCUAGUAAUCUAAACCCAAGAGCCCAAUUAUAGCUCUAUUUGCCAAAAAAGAAUAAUUCUUUCUAUUAUCAAGUGAAUUAAAAGCACUCCUCAUAUUUCUACAGAAAAAUAAUUGAAGGAACUUACAAGUUGUUGCAGCAGCUGUGAGUGUUACUAUGUCACUUGCAUUUGUGCCACUCAUGGCUGAGCCUAUGGCACUGCUAAGCUGCUCUCUCUUUGCCCCCAUUGCUUCUGCGACUUGUGCGCAUUUAGCUGCAACCAAAGCAGCAGCAGAGGCUAUGGCAGCCUCCUUGGCAGUGCUGGAUUCAUCUUUCUUGGAGUUCUCAGCAGCAAUUGCAGCUAAGGCAGCAGCUACUCCUGCUACUGAUAUAGCUGCAUGUACUUCAGCUUUUUGUAGCCUCUCUUCUUCUUUUCGCUUCAGCUUUAUCUCUUUCAACCAUUUCUUUAUUGAAAUGGUCUUAAAGGGCAGUAUAUUUUUCCAUGGGAACUGCAUUAAGAAUUGUUUAGAUUAAGUUCUUUUGUAUGUGUUUUUAUAGCUUAUAAAAAAAGCUUAAGUCAAUGAGAACAAGAUUAUGCACCCAUUUCUUGCGGAAACAACUGUUGUAGUUCAGUUCAGGAUGCAUUGCUUGUUGCAUCCAUAUCCAUGACUGUAAGCAAAAAACCGAAGAAAUAAAGCAAUGAAUUUGGUUUGGAUAAAUUCAACUAAAUGAUAAACAUUGAUCAUAACCACUAUACUAUUGCUGUAGUGUGCCUACCUUCAUAUCAUUGGAUUUCCAUGGUGGCAGAGACUUGAAGGCAUCAUCCAUUUUGACACUCUUGUCCAUCUUCUGCAAGGUAGACAAAUAAACCUCCAUUCAUGUCCUUUGCUCCAAUAACAUUCAAAUCAUAAAACACUGCAAACAUAGAAACUGCUACAAAUUGACUCACCGAGAAAGGAGGUUUCAUGACGUCGCAAUCGAGUUUCUUGAUUGGAUUAUCUAGGAGAAUAAUCGGCUGGUUUUGCAAGUCUGGUUGGAGAGCUUGAACAGCAAAGUUGCACCAAGUGCUCGAAAGAAAAUCCAUUGUCUCAGGAUGUGCCUCAGAGGGAGAUGGCUUCAUAAUUGAAUCCAUGUAUGCGAUUAGGAGCUAUAGACUGUAUUUGUGUUUAACUGGAGGUGAUAAAAUUAACAGCAGAUUGAGGAAAGGCUCAGCUAAGUCUCAGAUAUAAGCAAGUCUUAACAUGCAUGAAUGCUAAAUAGACUAUGCCUAAAUCCCUAUCAUGUCAAUAUUGUGAUGAGGGUUCUAAACAUAUGGCCCAUACACAUGUUUAAUUUAUUGGAUAGAAUAGAGCUGCAAAAUGUCCUCCUUAAAUCAUCACCAUUGGUGUGAUUGACCCAUAUGAGAGAUCAGAUUCAAAUGGGAAAUUAUGCAUCUAUGGGUAAAAAAUGGCCUUAAAAGGUUAGUGCUGGCAGGCACAGCUUGUUGCUGUCCUCGUAUGCAGAUCCUAAAGUUCAUCAAAAAAGGGUUUUAGACAGAUGAGAUAUUACAGUUGGAAAGGGUAACUGGAUGUUUAUGAAUAUGUAAACAUGGAGCUGGGAACAAGGGACCUACUAGGUAUAACAAGAGUUUCUAGAUAAUAAUAGAUUUAGAUGGGAGAGGGUUCCUUCAAGAUUUGAUGAUAGAGAACACAUGCUACCACUGUAGAAGCAUUAAUGCUUGUAUACUAAAUUAUACAUACAAAAAAGGUAUCGAGAGGUCCAUUUCCUUUUGCAUCUUUAAAUGAAAACCAUAAACUCAAGCUAAGCAUGAAGAAUAGGCUUGAUGAGGAAGUGAUACGUGACUCCUUCGAGCUGUCCAGGACCACCAUGUUUGUUUUUUUGAGGUAGUAUUUGGUAACGUAGUGAUGAUUUUUUUUUAUUUUUAAAUACAUGAAAAUAAUAUUUAUUUAUUUUAAAAUUUAUUUUUAAUAUAAACACAUCAAAAUGCUAAAAAAACAUUAAAAAAAUUAAUUUCAAGUAAUUUUUUAAUUUUUUUUUAUAAAACACGAUUUGUAUAGCAAAAACAAACAUUUCCCAGUACUAUAGCCAUAAAAGUUAAGAGAGUAAGAUGCAAGAAUUGUGAGGCAUUAUUAUAACCAAGCAUGCAGUCUAGGGCCAACAUUGCUAAAAAGGAUGUAGACAAGUAUGAUUGAUGUUAACCACAAUAAAGCUACAAAGACAUGUAUCAAUAGUGAAGCUAGACAUUCUCUGAUUAUAAUAUUGGUUGGAUGAUUAACAAGUUGUUAAACGACGAGGUUUAGGGUUUAGCCUUUUGUAUUAAAAAGGGUUUUAUGAAAAUUAGUUGAGUAGCUUUUUAUGGGUUCGAUUAUCUCUCAAAAUGGCUAUGGGGUCACCAAUAUUCUGCUUUGAUGAUGGAUUACUGGACUUUGCAGAGGGUUUUUAUUUAUUUAUUUAUUUAUUAAAAGUGUGCUCAUUAGACUCAUGUGACAAGCGAAUAAUUUGAGUGCUCGUGAUCACUUGUGUUUCUUAAUUAAAUGUUGAGUGUGUGAUUAAGAAAAAGCACCGAUGUGAGACUAGGGGCAAUGCACUCCUCUCUUGAUUUUCUGGGAAGGUUACUAAAGAUUAUAUUUAAGAGCAUAAAGAUUAAUGUUCGGAUUCUGAAUUAAAGUUUCGGCCGAAGUGGGAUAAAGAAUUAUUCAGCUUCUUGCAUUUUAAUCCUCGAAGACAUUAAUGUCGAACUGGGGAUCUUCGGCAUGUAAAUCUGUACUGAUAAAUCACUACGCUGCAGAGGCUUAAUCGAUAUAGAGGAAGUUUUAACGAGUUUAAUCUUGUUUUGUAAAUUAAAUUAUGGUGAGUUUUAGGUGCACGCUCAGAACUUAUAAUUUCAAAGUGUUUAAUGUAUGUUUUUUUGUAACUGUUGAUGAAAACAGUAGGAUUCGAGAAUUAUUUCUCGUCCAAGUUUAGGUUUUAUCCUAAAUUCUUAUGCUUAGGUUAUCAUGCGGCUAGUUUGCAAACCUUGCAAUUCAAGGUUUCUUUUAGAUCAGUCGAACAUAAUCUUAAAAUAAAGCAGGGGUGAUAUCUUAUAAUUAACUUAAUAAGUUUGAAUCAGGUUAUGUUGGGUCAGUGAAAUUUUACCAGAUCAACUUUUUAUUUUAUUUAAUUUUAGAAUCGAUCCAAAUUAAAUACUAGGUCAUCAAAUUUCUUGGAUGUAGCCAUUGAAUCAAGUUAAGUUUAAAAAAAUAUACAUUUUAUUUGUUUAUUUGAAUCAUCUAGAGCCAAUCAAAAUUCAUAAAUAUCAUUAAUAUUUUCUUGGAAGUAAUACAAGAUAGCAAUCAUAUUUUAUUUUUUUUGUAUUAUUUAAGAGUAGUUGAUAAGUUUGAUGAAUGUAUUCUUUUCAAUAUAUCAUACUAAUAUAGGCAUUAAAAAAAGAAUUUAGUAUAAAUUUAUAUAUAUCAUAAUCGAUUUUUGACCCCACAUUAAAAAAAAUAAAAAAUAAAUUCAGGAGCGAAACACCAAUCAAAUGAAGAAUAGGGAUUGAAAUAAAAAAAUACUAGAGUUUAAUUUUAUCUCCAAAAUAAAUUGUGAAUUUAAAAUAAAAGAGGAGAUUAGGAGAUAAAAUAGAGGAGAAAAUACAAGAAUUUAAAAUAUAUAUAUGGUGAAGGGACUAUAAAUAAGGAAUAAACAGUGCAAAAAAAAUUCCCGAAACAAAACUGAAGAGAAUCGAGAAACAAAAAAAUCUAAAAGAAAAAUCAUAUGCGCAGAAAAGUGGAGAGAACUUUGAGAGAUCCUAGAAAAAAUUUUAUGCGAGAAGCUAGAGAGUAAAAUCUUUUUUUUAAAAAAAAAAGCAAAGAGAAAAAAAAGAGGUUGACACAAAGAUAAAAGAAGAAGAAGAAGAAGUAAGCCUUUUCUUCCAUUCUUCCUCCACAACCAUAAGCCUUUUCCUUGCUGAAUUUUGGUCAAACCAGCAACCCCAAACCCAGUAAUAGACUGAGUAAACCACAAAAAAUCGCAUUCUCUUCAGAGAACAAAACUAACAAUAGCUUCUCAGACCACCACAAACCUAACUAUUGUCCUCUUUCUCCAAAUCGCUCCACUACCUUCAUCUCCUCCACACGACAAUCCCUCUCACCUUUUUGUCGCAUGCAUCCAUUGCUCUCUUUCUGUCACCCUAUAGAAUAGCCUUCAUAUCCACCACCCAACACAUCAUCAUGAUCUUUUUUUAACCCAAAAUCGUAACCUUAAUUUCAUUAAAAAAUUAUCUCAAUCAAACCCGACAAUACAGCUAAAACCCAACCAAAUCAUCCCCAAAAUAAAUAAGGAACAAUCAGCUUCCAUAUCCACUUGAAAGAUCAUCAUUUCUAUGUGAUUUUGCAGGUACAUCCUUGGCACAUAAAGAGCAUGUGCCUUCUCUAUUUAUCAUAACCUAGUAUUUCAACGCAUGACAAGCACGCGUUGACAUUAUUCUGCCUUGUUUGAUUCAUUUCUAAUAGUUAUAGAAGGUCAAUUUCAUAUCUAAAAGCCAAUUUGUUUGAAUUACUUGUAUUGUAAUGUUGAUGUGUAGAUGAUUUAGUGUGGAUUGAUUUUUUAUUUGCACAUGUGUUAAUAUAAUUUGGGUGAUAUUUUGUUGAAUAGUGUGAUUUUUAUACGUGUUGAUUAAUUGAUCUAUAUUUGUAUUUAUUUGUUUAGGUUGGGUGAUUUAUAGUUUCUCAGCAUGAUUUUAUUGAUUUUGCAUGGAUGUGAUUAAAUAUAUGUGUGGAGAAUUUAUGUUGGUAAACAUUUGAAUUUCAUGUUCAAUGCGUUUAAAUGUAGAUUUUUUUUAUUCAGAACGCUAGAAUCUUCAAUGAUUUUUUUUUUAAAUAUGGUAGGAAUAUUUUGAGUAUAUAUAUACAUAUAUUUAAACAUUUAUAUUGUUGGCUGUUUUUUAUCAAAGGAUUGACCUAUUGGUAGAUCACUGAACAUGUCUUAUCAAUUAGAUGUCAAUUUUUUUUUAAUAUUUUUUUUGUGAUUUAGGUUCAACCCAAAGGUAAGACAAUCACUUAAUGAGUCAUGCUCUUUAAAAGUUGAAUAAAAAAUAACUUGUUUUCCAAAAUUACAUACAUAUAUUAUUUCUUUCAAGAAUAUGAAUUUGAUAUAUGAGGUGAAAAGUUUCUUUUUGAUUCACUUUUCUUUCAUAUAAUAAACCAUUAUUUUAUUGGCAUAGUUGCUGACAAUAUUCAUUUUCUUAAAAACAAAUACCAAUGAAUUUAUCUUUGUUUGUAAAUAUCUUUUUUUUUAUUGAUGUCAUUGUGUGCAUUUCUUAAGAGGUUUUUUUUUUUUUUUAUGUGUCUAGGAUAUUGUCCCAUCAUUGCAAGAGAAUUUAGGCAGGGUCAACAUGAUCCUAAAAAGGCCUAUUGAGUUUUAAUAGUGGUCUUUGAGUAUAUGUUAGGCAUGACCUAAGAAACGAGCUCAAAACCCAAUUGUCACUUAUCAUCCUCCUGGAUUCAAUUGUUAUAUUUUUAAAGUGAGGAUUGGGCCUUAUUACGAGGACCAAGUCCCAAAUCACUAUCUUAAGUUUAAUGAUCCUCUUUCUCUUAACCAAAUAUACAUAUAUCAGUUUCAACCAAUUUUAGCAAGAGGACAUAAUUAUUUUUAUCAUUAGAAACCAUAAUUAUAAAACUCGGCCUGAAGGUUGACCUGGAAUAAUAGUCAGGUCCCAAGUCAGUUGGGUUGACUUAAGUUAACUUGGAAAAUGAAAAAAAACCCUUUCUCUACAUUAUCUCCCUUUAUAAACACCUUCAUUGUUUCAUUGCUUUUGGUUAUUAUCCUUCUUUUUUUCCCUUUAAAUUUUAUAAUUCCUCUAUUUCUCAUAUAAAUCCAAUUCUUUAUAUAUAAAUAAAUCUUUUCCAUUUCACUCUCUCUAAUUUUUCCAUAUAUAAAUUUUGUUAUAUAUCAAUAAGAUAUGCUGCUUUUCAUUAAAAAUAAGUUGUUACGACUCAAAUCAUUUUGAUGAAGAAGAAGUCAAUCCUUUCACAUUAUGUCGAUAUUAUAAAUAUCAUACUUAAUAAAUCUCUGUAUAAUUUACAUGUGUACAUUGUUCACGUAUUUAUUUUAUGAUUUUAAAUAAGAGAUAUUUAGUCUUUAAAACAAGUUUCAUAUAUAUGUUUAACAAAUUAAAAACAAACGGGAUUGGGGUUGUUCACUUAUAGUGAUGAGGGGUAACCAAGAUAAAUUAAAUAAAAAAAAGUGAAUGUUAAAUAACAUACCUAAAAGAUAAAUGAACACUAAAAGGGUCAUUGUCAAAACUUAGUUCAAAUGAGAUCUUUAUGUCACUUAGAUCUCAUUCCAAAUAAAUGAGCAUACAAUCUUCAUUCAAAAAAUAUUAUAAAUGAAUCUUAGACAUGACAUUAUUUAUGGACCAUUUCUAGGAUCUAGGUUAGGUUAAAGGAGCCCAGUAUAAGCUUAUUGGUUAUUCAUUUGAAUGACUUGAUAGACUAUUUGUCAUAUGUCAUGAUAAGUAGUUACUAGUUAUAGACGUGUCAAUUCACCAAGUAUUAUAAAAAAAAAUAAUAACUUAGGAGUGACAAAGAUAAACAAGACCUUAUAAUAAUUAGACUUGAACAUCUACUUAAGGUUCAACUCAUUGUAGUGGAUUAAUUAUCACUAAUAUAAAUAGAUCACUAAUAGAUUAAAGACAAUAGAUCAUUAGAAAUAAAAGACAAGUUACAAUGAUGCUUUAGGAUGAUAGGGUUUUCUAGUGAUUAUAAUACUAUGUGACAUCUUCUUUUUAACAUAAGACUUUUCCCCCCUCUCAACACACAAAAAAACUUUCUCCUUCUCAAGAAAGAGGACAUGAUUACUGCAAUGUCGAAUACAACAUUUCAAAUGAUAGUUUUAUUUCAAAUAACAAUUUCUCAAGUAAGACCCAUCAGUCCGAUGAUAAUUUUCUAUCAAAAUGGCAUUUUUUUAGAUAAGCCCAUCAAUUUGAUAACAAUUUUCUUUUAGAUGAUUUUAAUUUCAAAGAGAAGUCCAACUGGAUGAUGAUAAUUAUUUUUUUCCAAAUAGUAUUUUUAUUCAAGGAAAGCUUAUUAAUCUAAUGACAUCUUUCCUUUCAAAGAAACUCUUUUCUUUUCUUUACAAACUCACAAUACAAAGUCAAAGAAAAAUAUAUUUUUUUUAUUUUGUACCAUAAGUAUUGUAAAGAGAGAAAAACUAUUGUAAUUGAUUUUUUACCCCACAUUCAAAAAGAAGAAGAAGAAAUAUUAAAGAGUGAAAUGACAAUUAGAUUAAGAAAUCAGGACCAAAAUAAAACAUACAGGAGUUUAAGUCCAUCUAAAAAAAAACUAUGGAUUUAAAAUAAAAUAGGAAAUUAGGAGGUUAAGAGAUAAAAUAGAGGAGAAAAGAUUAGUAUUUUAAUUUUUUUUUAUAAAGAGCCUAUAAAUAAAGGAAUAAAGAGUGCAAAAAAAUUUAAUGGAAGCAAUAUUAGAAAGAACCGAGAAACAAAAAAAAAUCCCAAAGUAAAAUCACAAGCAGACAAAAAUAGAGAGUAAUAAAGCAAAGAGAAAAAAGAAGACUAGCAAAAAUAUAAACAUAAAAGAAAAAAAAAAAUCCUGACCCUUUUUUUUCUUCCAUCUUCUUCCCCUCUCUCCAACAUCACCGCUAGCCUUUUUAUAAUUAUACAUAUAUAUUAUUUGUUUUUCAAAAAUAUGAAUUCAAUCCAUGAGUUUAAAGGCUCCCUUUUGAUUUUUUUUUUUUCAUAUAAUAAACUGUUAUCCUACUAGUAGAGUCGCUCUUAAGGUGGGAACAUUUAUUUUUUAAAAAAAAUUAUACCAAUAAAUUUAUCUUUGUUUAUAAAUAUUUUUCCUUUUUAUUAAUGUCAAUUAGUGUUUUUUUAAAAUAAUUUUUUUAUGUGAUUAGGUUAUUAUCCUAUUAUUACUAGUGAAUUUAGUCCGAGUUAACGUGAUCCCAAAAAGACUUAUUAAGUGUGAAUAAUGGUUUUUAGGUUUAUUUUAGGCAUGAUCCAAGAAACGGGUUCAAAGUUCGAUUUGUCAUUUGUCAUAGUUCAGAUCCAACACUUAUUAUUUUAAAUAUGGAUUGGACUUUAUUAUCAAGCACAAGUCUAAAUUAUUAUCUUAGAUUUAGUGAUAAUUUUUCUUUUAACCAAUUAUACACAUACCAAUUUAAGCCAAUUUUAGCAAUAGCUCUUACAUAUUUUUAUCUUUAGAAACAAGCAGAAUAAAACUUACCUUAUAUAGAAUGCUUUAGAAAGGUGCUUAUUUUUACUUUAGCAUAAACAACUUUUUAUCUAAAACUCGGAAGACUAAUUAGGUUUUAUUUUUUUAUUUUUACUCUUAGUUCGUCAAGAUGCCCCGUGGAACAAUAUAUAAAAAUAUCCUUUAUUGUUCAAUAUAAAAUUACUAUAAAAAUUUGUUUUCCAUAAACGGCACAGUAAAAUAUACUCGUGGAAAUCCAGGGGAAAAAAAAAUCUCCAGUCUCUGCUCUUCGGGCAGAUAAGUUAUCACUGUGAGCCUGGCUUUAUAUGAUGAGGUCCUUUCUUUGAAGUGUGACCCAAAUCCUUACUAGGUCGAUGUGGUUGGCCCAAAGUUGCUCUGUCUGUGCCUAGUGAAGUUGAGAGCAGGCUUAAUGUUAUUGUAAUCAAACUCGAACUCAUGCUCGAACCCAAAUUUGGACUGAACUUGCUGACCACAAAAAUCAUAACCUAUCAGAUAAGAAAGGUUAUAUAGACACAAUUUGGACAAAUACCAAAAGGCCCUGAAGGGGGGGCCGAUUUGACCUCAACAGGCCUUUCAAGAACCUGAAAGUGUUCUUGCAGUGGGACUAUCAAUGGAGUCUGGUGGCUUGGCUCGUUGCCUUUGUCUCACCCUACGUAAAACCUAAGUGAUAUACUAUAAUACCAUGUAUUUCUUCCUUGACACAACAGAUAACAACUAGCCCCCAACCCUACGGAUUCUAUGAUCAAUACAACGAAGGAAAUGGCUAAACAUAGAUUCUUUCCAGCUUAGUCCAAAUUUUAAAGGCUCAUAAUAAUUUGUGCAGGGGCAUCAAAUCAGAAAUCUAGCUGUAGGUCGCUUUCCUUUGUGCAUAAACUUAUUUCUCAAAUGGAAAAUGCCAGUAGCAUUAUUAUUUACUUUAGGGUUGCUGGUCUCACUUCUUAGUAAAGACAAUCAACUCACUGUCCAUGAUGGUACACGCACACUUUUGCAUAUUUUAAGACCAUUAUGACUUCCAAAAAUCAUGCAUGUGUCUGUCAUUAUAUGUAGAGAUGAAUUGAUUAUAUAUAGCUGGCCAGCAACAUUAGACGGUAAAUGGUCAAAUUUAAUUAGAUGGGACAUAAUUAAUUGGCCAACCAACUCUUCGUUACAUCUAGAGAAGGCAGAGAGGACUUACUGCUCUCUUCUUGUAUUGUUAGCCAUCUUCAUCUGGGCAAAAUUUGGAUAGCCUCCUAAUUGUAGUAAAACUAUUUUAUUAGUAGUUGUGAUCACAACCCUAUCUUCAAUCUUCUUAAGAGUUGUAAUCAUGAAAUUAAUUUAUCCUCGAUAAUUCACUAUUAAAACAAUCAGGAUAUUACAGUUGGAGAAAUAUAAAUACAUGGCCGGACUAUAUAUAGAAAUCCCACUAAACCGGUGCUUCUUACAAUGAUGUUCUUUAAUAUUGAUCAUAAAUGGUAAUAACAAUGGAAACUGGUAUAUAUGGAUUACCAUCUUCUUACUCUGAUGUUAACAACAAAUCAAAGGAAACUGCAACCCGUUUCAGUCCCCAUCUUUGCUUUAGCUUCAUGACAUUUUGAAGCCUCUCUUACUUCUCUUUUAUCUUUGUUUCCUUUGGCCAAUUCUCUCGUUUUGGACAUUGUACCAUCUUUAAUUUUAAUAGAAUUACUAGAACAAUAUUCAUAAAAAAUAAAUAAACAAAGAAAUCUGAACGAGAAAGGCUGAUUGUGGUUCUUUGUAUCUUCAUUUAAUAUCUACCAUCUUUUAUAUUAAGGUUUGCCAGUUAUAAAACUUUGGAAAAUGCUAAACUAUAAUACAUCUUUCAUGGUUCAUGUUGAUCACCAAUGGAGACUGAUCACUUUUAUGAUAGUUGACCAGGUCAUGAGAUCAAUAAUCCAGUGGUUCCAUAAAUGUUAAUAAGCAAGGAUCAGGCUUUGCAUGUAACAACCAGUUGAAAUAUUUCUAUAGGCCACAUAUAUAUAUAUAUAUAUAUAUAUAUAUAUAUAAAUUCAUGGAUACGGUUGUGUGUGCGUGUAUAUAUAAUAUAUAUCUGCGUCAUCAUGGACUACAAUUUAUGAAUUCUUACAUCUUAAAAUCUUUGCUGCUGUCACCAUCAAAGAAAUAUAGUAUAUGCAGGGUGUUGCACGGGUAUAGUAAUUUGGCCUUUCUUUGUUAUCUUGUGUCAACACCAACUUUCCCUCCUACAUGCCUCAAUAAUGCAAGAUCAUCGCACGUCCUUAACCAAAAUAAGCAAAGAAGAACCAAACAGCUAGCUGUCUAAGCAAUACUUCAUACGGUAAGAUAUCAGUUUGAGUGACAACAGAGAGUAUGUACCAAGCUAGUUCCCUUUACUGAAGGACAAACACAAGAACACUAUCAAAAGACAAUCAAAGUAGAAUUUUAAGCAACAAUUCAAGUACUCGUAUAGUGGAAGUUCCUUCUUUGGAUUAUUUUAUUCUUUCCCUUCUUUUCUUUUUGUGGAUGAAAUAUGGGUUGUUAAUGAAUUUCCUCAUGUAGUCAUGUUCUUGAACACAAUUUGUAAGCCUUAAUUUGUUUGCAUAUUGAGCACAUCCCAUAUAUCUUGGACAACAAAAUGAAAAGAAGAAACAUCAUCAGUACAAAGGGAAAUCGAAAAUGCUCAGUGCAAUAUUGCUGGCUACCAAUAAUUAAGUUUUAGAAAUUUGUGCAAACACUUCCGGAAUCUUGCUCAUCAUUUUAAUGUAAAUUAAAACUAAGACUAGCUAGUAGAGGCGAGGGAAACAAAAGGUUUGAUUGAUUUAAUAAAUAUGGUUCCUCUGUACAUGCCUUGCUACCUUUUAGCAUGCACCUCCUGAUUUUAUUUUUUUUUAUAUCUAGUCUUGCAAAGAAAAAAAAAAGAAGAAGAAGAAGAAAUAAGAAAUAGAAGAUCUAGAAUUUAUAGAAAGUAGCUACUUUUCCAUCGAUGUUCCUAUUUACCAUUGACUAGCUCAGUAGCCUUGGCAAGAGUUCUCAUGACAUCAACCUGAGCUCGAAGUGAUUCUAUGUAGUCUAGGGUUUCUUCAAUCAGAGAGAUAUCAUCCAUAAAUUCCCCUCCAGGUACAAGACUCUUCAAUACUUGUGUUCUUCUAUUUACCAUCCUUUUAGCAAUAGAUUUAGCAAGAACAACUUGCGGUUCACUUUUUCUUACUCUUUUAAUGCAGCAACUCCUCUUCAAGAUUUUCUUGCAUCUAACCCUCUUGUUGUCCAUGACCAAUCCAAUUGACGCGUUCUUUAGCCUCUCACUCUCAGGAGCUAAUAGGUGCUGAACAAGGACUUUAUUAUCAUCAUGUUUUGAAGCAUUGGCAAUGAGUGCACGACUCCAACAAGUCCUUCCAUCUCUAGUAGAAGCUAAGGCAAUGUCUGCUGAUAGCUCUAUUGCCUUCUUUCUCUCCAAGAUGCUCAUGUUCUGCUUCCCAGAACCACAUACUUGGAGACCCAAUAUCCAUUUCUUGAGAAAUUGUUGCUUGAGUGAACUAGGAUCGCGCAUUCUGCAUAAGAUAAGAAGACAGUACAAGAAGAAUUUGAAAGAGAUGUGAGCACAGGAAAAGAAAUGCUACAAGCUUUAUAGCUUCAGUCUAGCUGCUAGUUUGGUCAGUUAGCUGGCUUUAUACUUUUCUUAAUAUUUUCUUCCAACAAUUUUUUCUCAACCAAAGAGAGGAUCCAUAGCAUAGAAUUGAAGAAGUAAAUAUAUUUCCAAACCAAGAAAUUAAGAAAGGAAAAAUGGGAAAAGAUUUAAAGAGCGAGUGAGUAUAAGUUAAUAAGAUUUAAGGAAUCAUGAGAGGGUGAAGGUGGACAAUUAUUUCAAAAAGAAGACGAUGGCAAGUUUAAGGUGAAUUUAUGCACUUUCAUGGAUCUAUCUAGUCAUGGGAACUACAUGAUGCAUUGUUGGAGCAAGAUAUAUAAUGAUGUGAAGCAUACCUUUGUUGUAUAGAGCAAGAGCACAGAAAAUCAUAAGAAGUAAGUAAGACAAGUUGCAGAAUGAUGCAAUUCUACGAUCCAAGAAAGUGUGUCUCAGAAUCCUAGAAUGAUGUAAGAGAGAGAGAGAGAGAAUGAGAAGGAAGAAGAACGUGAAGGAAGAAGAAAGUGAAGCCACCCCAUUUAUUUGCUCAAAGGAAAAGCAGCAGUGGGCCUUUAAGAGAGAAAGACACAGCACAUGCAGGCACAUGGUGUCCAUGGCCCACCACACAAACCCUAGAACUAGAAGAUGUAAAAAAGAAAUCGGCCCUAAGAUAUAAAUUAGUCCCUAUAGUCUUGCAAAGUUAAUUGGAUAAUCCCCCUGGUCUUACGAAUCAUUAAUUAGUCCCUAUAUUCUUAAAUCUAUUUUCAACUUGACCCUUUUCACUCAUUUCAUGUUAUUUCUUUCUUUUCUUUUCCUUUUUUAAAAAAAAUAGAAAAAAAAAGAUAAUAUAGAAAGAAAACAAGGGAUGAAACGUGGACAUAUUAAAACAUGUGGUUUCUUUAGGUACCAAAUUUGUACAAGAAGUUCGAAUAAAAAAAGAAAAGAAAAAGGAGAAAGAAGUUAGACAAACAAUUCUUUAUUAUAUAUGCUUAGCAGAAAUUAUUGUUUCUAGACUGGCAUUGGAAUUUGUAUUCAUACAAAGUACUUGUGUUAAUAUCUAGGAUUCAGAAAGGAAAGGAGUACUUCGGACAAAGAUUGAGUAAAAAGCAUUUGGAAUUCAUGAGUUGUCCUUCAAGACUUUAUACAAAAUUAAGAUCAAUAUCCCAAAGUAUAUGUAUAAAUCGUUCUUUAUUUCUAUUUUCUUUACUUAGCAUUCGGAUGCUUAAUGAUCUUGAAUUAGUACAGAAAUUAAAGCAUUUUUCCUAUUCCCAAUUACUAUUUUAAAAUUCCUAAUUACUCAUAAGAAAUUCCCAAUUAACAUUCAGAAUUAAGAAGUUUUAAGUUGGACUUUUCAACUACGUUAAUAAUUUCAAACCUCUUUUGCAGGUCUGUCCAAGCUAGCUAGGACGUGUUCCACGACAAAAUAUGUGCUAUGAAAUGUAAAUUAAUGAUAGAAAUCUCAGUAAUGUUGCAAGAAUAUAUUUGACCAGUCCAAUAAAAUUAAUCACCAGAAUUAUUAUCAUUAUCAUUAUUAUUAUUAUUAUUAUAAAUAUUUAGGCUAGUUUACAUGUAAUUUGACUAAUUUUUCAAGAUCCUGAAGUUAAUGAUCAGGUAAGUCUCCAAUAAUCCGAGAUUUGUAACACUCAAACUGGUAAUUUCUAUAAAACAAACCAGAUGUUAACUAGUUAAAAUACACCCACUCAAAGUUAAUUAUUAUUAUCAUUUUAAUUUUUGGGCUUCUAGUUCCAUGGAAUUGCACUGCGAGGAUGUUUAUUUGGGGAGAAGAAUUGGCAGGAUCCGGAAAACAUGGCAAUGCUGAGAGGGAGAAAACUGAAAAGGACCCACAUAAGAGAAAUUUUAUGGCAUGGGGUUCGGCUUUGGACAGAGAAUAGAGAGAAAAUAAAUUUCUCACAUGGUCUCCACAUGGGAUUUUAAAAGGAUGGUCUUGUGUAGGCUCUCUCAAAGUACAAUCUUCUUCAAUGAUUAAAUACAUACAUAUACAUAUAGAUAUACAUAUACAUACAGGCAUGUUCACGAUAUGGUAUGAUACGGUCCGGUCGGUUUGAACCAAAAAAUCUAACCGCACUAAAGUUUUUAAUAUCUAGAAAUUUCAACUCGAACCAAACCAAAAACUAGUUCAGAUUAAACCAGUUCAGAUUAAUUCGAUAGAAAUAUGGUAGGUACUUGAGAGAUUUUUUAUACACUAUCACUUAUAUAACAUUAAUGUUGAUGGAAAUAUGAUAGGUCUAUAGAGGGUUUAUACAUUUAAAGGUAUAGGGAGAGUAGGAUCCAAAAUGUAACUGAGCCUAUAGAGACUAAGUUUUUCCUCUAGAUUGAGCCCAUGAUGUUGGGCUAUUUUCAAGGCUGGGCCCAUGAUGUUAGUCUCUUCCCCAAUAUUAGGCAAUUCCCAAAGUUGAGCCCAUGGUGUUGGUCUCUUCCCCGAUGUUAGGCUAUUCCCAAGGUUGAGCUCAUGGACAUUGGGCUUUUUUAGGCUGAGCCCAUAGAGGCUGGACUCUUCCUUUAAGUUAAGUCCAUGGGGUCGGGUUCUUCCCAAGACCAAACCCACAAAGGUUGGGUGCCGACCUUGGACAAGUUGCUUAAAACUGUGGGUUUUCGAGCCUUUGAGGGUUUUUUAAGCCUGUUAAUUUUGCUAAUAAAAUAUAAGUAGGUUUUGACCAACCUUUUAAGGGUAAAAUUUCAUGUUUUAAAAUAAUUUCAUUUGGUUGGUUUAUAGGGUUGCAACGUAUCCAUUAUCUGCAAAUAUAUAUAUAUACAAAUUGUUUCAAUGCUUUUUCUUAUAUAAAAAUUUUUAAGUGUAAAUCAAAAAAAUUAUUCAAGUAUUUCAUUGUUUGCAACAAAUUAAAAAUUAAAAAACUGAAAUAAAAAGAAAUUAUAAAUUGCAACCUUUUAUUUCAAGCACUGUGUUUUUAACACUUUUUGGGACGUUGUGAAAUAUUUUUUUAAAUCAAGUAGAGUUUUGGACUAAUCUUCCGACCUAUCUUUGAAUCAGUUAUUUUUAUUCUAGUACAUGGUUAGUGUUAAAAACAAAUUUAACAUUUAUUUAUGCUUAAUUUUUUUAAUUUUUUUAAUAAAUAUGUUUAUUAGAUUUUGAAUUCAUUAUUAUUAUUUUUUAUUUUCUAAAACAAUUAUUAGCUAUACUUGAUUAUUUUUUUUGGCAUUAGAAUCUUUUUUUAUUCAACCCGAAAUUUUCGCGUAUAACUAAUGCUUGGUACCUUGUUAAAAGAAAACAGAGGCGGGAAACUAGAGGAAAAACCAAACCGUCUUAGGCAACAUAGAAUGCGGCAAUAAUCACCGCAGGAUUUUAUUAAUACAAUAGGCUAUUAAAUAUACUUACUUAAUUAUCGUCCACUUUUUUAUAUAUAUAUAUUUGCAUUAUAGACUCAAUCUUAAUUAAUUUGUUUUAUAUUUAAUUUUUUAAUAUAGAUUACUGAUCUUUCCACAGAAGAUCCAUUAUUAAUUAGAAAAAUAGUAAUUUUUAACCAAAAAAAAGGGGUAAUAUAUAUUCAUGCCCUUAGGAAUUACAUAGAAUGUCUUUUAAAAAAAAAACUCUUUUUAUGGGGUGGGACCAAAAUGGAAAAAUGAUUGCUUUGACGUCAUUUGGCUCAUAGAGAAGAAAAACGAGAGGCGCAUGCGUUUGCCCUUUGCCUUUGUUCCCCGGAAGUCCCUCGCCGUGUCUUCCAAACAAACAGCUUAUUCACUUUCCCUUUCUCUUUCUGUCUAUCUUUCAGACAGACACUCACACUUGUUGAGGUGAAUGUGUAGCUCAGCUUAAUUUGAGGGAUUGCUUUAUCAUGUGCACUAGUGGUAGUGGGCUCCAUUGUCAAAUAAUAAAAACUAUUACAAUUCCAGUUUGAAAUCCUAUUGAAUUUUACAAAACUUUCUUGAAUUUAACAAAUAAAAGAGAAUUUUUUGGUAUUGUUAUUAAAUUUAUCUUAGGGGGUCAAUUUUAAAACCUUCCGACCUGACUCAUUGCCUAGCCAAAUUUAAAAUUACACUCUACGGGAGCUGCCCCGAUAUGACUUAAUUAAUUUGACGAGUUCAAAGACAACCCUACUGACCAGUAAAAAAAAUUUGAGGAUGAAAUUGAAAAAAAAAAGAAAAAAUUGAUAGGAGAAAAAUUCAGAUCCAACUUUUUGCCUAACUCAAGAUUAAAAUUAAAACUUUGAGGAUAAAAUUGAGAGAAAAUAGAUGUAAUUGACAAAAAAAAAAAGAUCUCUCGAUCUGAUUCCUUACUUAACCUGGGUUUAAAAAUAAAUCAUGUAAAAGUUGUCCUGAUGUGACUCGGUCGACUUAGUGCAACUCGUUGGAUUAGUAAGAAAAGUCUGAGGAUAAAGGUUUUUUUUUAAGAAUUAAAUUAAAAAAAAAUCUCUUGACUCAUCUUUUUGUCUAGUACGAGUUAAAAUUAAAUCGCGCAGGAGUUGCUCCAACAUAAUUCGGUUGACUUGGUUGAUUUAAAGACAAUCCAAAUGACUAUUAAAAAAUAUGAGGAUAAAUUGAGAAAAAAAUGAAAUUUAAAGGAAAUUAAAAAAAAGGGGGAAUAAAAAAAGGAGCUAAAUUGAAAAAUUAAAAGAAAAAAAAAAAAAAAAGAGGAGCUUCAUUGUUCACAUGAAUAAUGAAUCUACAAAAUAGGCUAAUUCUUUUAGUAGAGAAAGAUAAUUUCUAAUAUUUUAUAAUUUUUUAUUUUCUAAUUUGGACAUUAUACAUUUAUUAUGUAUUCAUAUCAAUUAAAAAAGUUAUACAAUGAAAUACCUUUCCUCAAAACGAUAUUGUUGUUCUUUCUCUACUAAUACAUUACUUUUUUUGUACUUGAUAUCAUAAGUGUUAUCUUUGAUUGCCUACAUGAGAUUUAGAGUAUGUUGGCCAAAACUUUAUAUUAUAGAUUAAAUGAAUCAUAAAUCUUUACAUUGAAUUAACAAGCAUUUUCUAUUAAGUAACUUGCUCUUCCUCUAUCAACCUAUUAUGAUUAUCUUGUUAAAAGUUUCUAGAAGUUGUACUAUGGUGAUAAGAUUAUAAUAAAAAUCCUAAUUAUAUUCUCGUAUAUAAAAAGUCAAUUGUAUGAUUGCGUGUGUGUAUCUUCUUAAAUGGAAUUGAUAUAGAGUAUGAACAAAUUCAAUGUGAGAUUCUUAAAAAGAACAUAAUAAUGGAUUUUAAAGAAACUUAUACAUUUAUACAUCAUGAUGUUAUUCACAGAACAAUACUGAAUGAGGAACAUGAUGAUCAUCUAGAGUCAACUGUCAUAGUGGUUUAUUGAACAACAUUGAAUGAGGAACUUAAUCAUCCAGAGUCAAUUGUCAUAGUGGUUUGCUAGUCCAAACUUCAAUAAAGGUAAAUUAAUCUACAAUCUAAGUGAGCAUCUAGCUUACUAAAUCAUGAAGCUUAUCAAGAUUGGUCAUUCGGAUCACAAAAUUGUAGUUAUGAAGUAAGAGUUUUAAGAUCAAAGUGUUUGUGUACACAUUAUAUUGAAACUUGACAUACUAAGUCACGAUGUUAUGAGUUGAUUAGAUAUUUAUAAUGGUAGGAUCCUACCAAGACACCCAAUAAUUAAAAUUCUAAACCAGAUCACCAUGCCUUUGUUGUUAUAGUAAAAGAAGUUGUUGUCAUCGAACCUUUUACUAGAGAAUCCUUAACCUUGAUCGCGACUUUAGGUAACCUAGGUAAAACUCUUAAAGUUUAUGCACCUAAUAAUAAUAAUUGUGAAUGGAUAAUUGAUUCAAAUGCUAUAGAUUAUUUAACCUAUCAUAUUAUAUUGAAACUUGACAUACUAAGUCACGAUGUUAUUUACCCUUGAUGUUAAAUUUCAUUAUAAUGAUAUAUAUGUAUUAUUUUGAUCCUAAGUCCAAUUCAAGGGGAGAAUAUGAGUGAAUUACAACUCUCUAGACACUUUGGAUUUGCAUAAUUAAUCAUUCUUAGAUUUAAUCAUUCAUAAAUUGUUGUUAUUCAAUUCAUACACUCUUAUAAUGAAGAACAUAUGAAUGCCAUCAUUCAUAUCUUGCGCUACUUAGAUCUAAAUCAAUCACAAAAUAUGACUCUUAUUAGCCUAACUUUUCUUGUCAAAAAUUACCCAAAACCUAUCAUACACCUCUCAUUUAUCUCUCUCACACAUGAGUUUGAUAUAUGUUAUAAAUUAUACAAGAUUGGAUAUUGCUGACUUGGUGAAAAAACUAAGUAGAUCUACCAAUAAUUUAUGGUGGGACAAUUAAAAAUCUAUAAAUGUGGUACUUAAAUAUUUGAUAUAUACUUUAGACUAUGAGUUGCACUAUAUUGGAUACUCAGCAAUACUUGAGAGUUAUGGUGAUGCAAAUUGGAUAUCUAACAUUACGAACUCAAAAUCCACUAGUUUAUAUAUUUUCACACUCAAUAGAGUAGUUCAGUAUUGAAAAUCAUCUAAUUAAACCUGUAUUGUAAGAUCACAAAUGUUUUAUUACUUUUGAUAAAACUGGACAGGAAGUUGAAUUACUUCAAAAUUUCGUAAAGGAUAUUCAGAGUUUGCCAAAACUAGUGCUAGUGGUUUGUGUCCAUUAUGACGACCAACAACUGGAAUGGCACAAAGUAGCAUGUAUAAUGGUAAGUUUGGGGGGGGGGGGUGUUUGUGUAAUACCAUUAAAUUGUUGCUUUUAAUUGAAAUUAUUUUUGUUGACUUUAUGAGGUCAAAGAAAAAUACUACAAAUCCGUUUACUAAAAUUUUAACGACAUAGUUUGUGUGUAGUUCAUAAAAAAAAAUAGGCUUAAAUGAAUACAUAUAGUAUACAUAUAAUAUGAGAAAUCACAUACAUGAGAGAAAAAUAUGGCUAUUUCUUUAAAAACAUUGAAAAGCUAAAUUCACUAGGUCAUUCAUGAACCCAAAGUUGUUCAGUGCUAAAAUGAAUACAAAUGUAAGAAGUAAAAAAAAAAUUAUUGUAAGAGAAAUAUGUAAGUAUUAUUAUCUUGGUUUACAUAAGAGGCUGAAUAAUUCAAGACAUAAUGUCCAUUAAUUACUUUCUCUCUGAUAUAAUGAUCUAUCAAUUUACUAGACAAUUUUCAUUCAUGUAAAAAUAAUUGGAAAUUGAUUUUGAUAUGAUUAAAAGUGGGGUCCAUUCAUAUUUAGAUUUAAUAUUUUAUUGAAUAAUAUUCUCAAACAUAAAUACUUUAAUAUGAAACAAUAACAUUUCUAAAACUUUAAUCUAAAAAAAAUUUUAAUUGGCAAAAUUUUCAAACCCAAAAACCUUAAUCUCAUAUUAGAAGAUUUCAAGAGGCUUAUAUAGUUGCAAAAAUUAAGCUUGUGGGCCACAAAACUUUCUAAGUUGAGAGAUCUUAGACGUUAUAGGAUAUGGGUUAAAACAACACUCUCAUAAUCGUUUCGGCUUAUGCUUUAAUUUAGGUUAAUUGUAAAAUAAUUUUUUAAUUAAGAAUAUUUUUUUCCAACCUAUCUAGUCAUUGAAUAUGUCACGUUUUCAAAAUUGUUUUGUUUGAUAUGUUAUCAUCUUACUUAAUACCUAGAGAGUUUUGGUUAAAGUCUUAAACAUCUUUGAUAUCUAGAUUAAUAACUUAAAUAUUUUUAAUAUCUUAAAUGUUUUUAAUAUUUUUAUUUAAAAAUUACUAAAAUGAAUACUCUGAAUCAAAAUUAAUCCUUGCAACCCAGGUCCUUAGAGGAUGGAGGCACUAUGUAUAGGCAUAACAACAAGUUUAGCAAGCUCUACCUUUUUUGCAAUCCUUUUCAUAUUGUCUUCUUCAUGUCUUUUUUAUUUUUUCUAUUAUGUAGUUCUAUAGCUUUUAAGUUCAGUUGUUUUAUGGAGAUAAUCAAGUUUGUUUUUCAAUUUAAUUAUUAACCUUGAAAGGUAAUUUUAAGAUAGUGUUGUUGGAGUUUUUAAAAACUAUUUGCUUUAAAAUUGUUUAUACCAAGUAACAAAAAUAUUAUCUUUAAAGAUAAAGGGUAUAAAACCUCUUUAUUUUCUUAUUUUCAUUCAAAAUCCAGCAAUUAAAUACCCUAUUUUAUUUACAUUAUUUUAAAUUUAUUGCUUAUUAUAGAUUUGUAAGCUGUGUUUUUUAUUAUUAUUAUUAACCCUGCCUGUUUUCACAUUGCAUUAUACUAAACAAUUAAUUCUUACCAAGACAAUAUGCAUUCUUAAUUAGGUAAGACUCCAAUGUGAUGCUUAACAUAACUAUUUAAAUCUAAAUUAAUCAUAUAUAAAAUGUGACUCUUGUUAGCCUAACUUUUCAUAUAAAAAAUUGACCACAUCCUAUCAUGUAUCCCUCGUAUACCUUUCUCACACGUGAACUCGUACACACACGCACGUGGUGGGUUCUUCCUUAAUCUCUGAGUAUUAAUUAAGACCUUAGGAGAAUUAUCUGCCUAGGAUGUUUGCCUAUAUAAAGAUCCCCAGCUCUUCAAGCUCUUACACAUCUCCUCCCUUCCUCCAUCCCUUGCCGUCUCUCUCUCAAAGAAAACACCCUCUCUAGGACGUCGCCCCCUCUCUCUGAGACACAAAAUGAGAAAACGUUCUUGCAAAUGGAGAAAGAUGAAAAGGCCGAAACUCUCAUCAAUCAGGAACAACCCUAGGAGUACUGCUAGAGUUUCCAUGCGGAAGAAACUGCAUCAGCUCCACAAGAUCAUUCCAGGCUGUGAAGUUAUGGACAAUAUGGAAACUUUAUUCCAAAUGACUGCAAACUACAUCUUUGCACUGCAACUUAAAGCGAGCUUUCUCCAGAGUUUAUGUGUUUUCUAUGAUGUCUAAUCUGAGAGGUGCAUACUCAGGCUUGUUCAAACUAGCUAGACCCUGCAAGGCAGUAAUUCUAUAGGAAAGUUGAAUUCAAAGCAGGAUAUGCUUUAAGAAUUCGUCUUUGUUAUCUUGAUCUUGUACCUAAAAAGGAUGUGCUUUGUGAUUUAUUUUAAUAUUGCAGGGUGAUUAAUAACGAUAUUUAUGAAUUGUUGUUAUAGAUUGGCUCAUUGAUUAGAAUGGGAAGAUUUUAACUGAGGACGCGUCAAGAACUACUUCAUGAAGAUUUUAAUAAACUGGGGUUACAAAAAUAAGAUCUUCAUUUUCUUCAUUAAUUCCCUCACUGGUACCAGUAUUUAGCCAUUGUCAAACCUUAUUUUUCUCUUAGUUUUAACAAGAGGUAUAAUAAAUCUAAUAAUUAAGCUUUAGGCUAUACAAUAAAAAAAAAAAUACACCCGAAUUAUUGAACUAUAUAAUAAAUCUGUUUUUUUUUACAAGGAUCGAUUCUUUACUUGAUGGGUCACGGCUAGGUUGUAUGAUUGACAAACAAACAAUGCUUUGACUAAUUAGUAAACCAUGUCGUGACACAGUCGUAAAAUUAUUGCAUGGACAGUUUAAUUAAUUGAGUGGUGUAGAGGACCUUAUCGUUAUAAAUUGAUUGAUUUUCUGAGCAAGGAACUCAUUGUGAUUGUUUUGUUCUAUAGAUCAAAUUUAUAAAAGAAAACUCUCGAUGAUCCAAAUUAAUUUUGGUUGUCUUGUAAAUUUGGCAUGCAGCAAUUAAUCAUAGUGACAUUUUUAGAAGUAAAAUCCCAGUUAACUUUCUUUCUUCUCUCCCCUCUCGAAAAAUAUUUUCCCCUUGUUGUCCAUGUUAUUUCAUCACCGGCGACCGCAAUCUUUUCUUCUUCUUCUUCCUCUUCUUCUUAUUUAGAUUGUAGUUAUCUUGAAUAAAGAUUUGAUGAUUGUUUUAAAUUAGUUAAAACAUUUUGAUAUUAAAUGACGAGCAAGAAUUUUCUUUAUUACGAAGCAUGGUAGUGCUAUAUGUUUCCUUCUUAAUUUAUGAUAGCUUAAAGUAAUAUGAAUGUGGCAUGCUGCAUGUCUCUACAAAAGCAUCCCAAGUUAGGAGUUUGAAGAGGGUAGCAGCUGGUCAUUCAUAUAAAGAUAUUUUAAUUUUAAAAAAAAAACAAAAAUAAACAUUCUCGUAUUAAUUGCGGUGUGCUAAAUGCAACUCUGGAUAUAAAACAAAGCCAAACCAAGAAGAAAAACGGGAGGCAAUUAAAAAAAAUAAAAAAAAUCCUCCGUAUUUCCCACUCAUCUAGCACACACACUCUCAUUUUCAAAAAAAACUCUACCUUAGCCCCUCUCUCACUAAGAAAAUUCUAAACAGGCCCUUCAAAAUCUAUAAUCUUACUUUUCUACCUUCACUUUAUUAUUUCUAUCUUUUGUUGGGGUCCCACGGCGCCACCCAUAGCAUAAGUAGUAGAUCCACCCUAUAUAUAUAUAGUACGGAAAAAACUAGAAAUUAAUUACAAAAUUGAAAGUAGCCAUAUAUAUAACGUAUUUAUUUAGGUAAAAAAAAAAGGUGAAUAAAUUCUUAUUUCUAUUAUUUUCUUUGAAGAACACGUCUUUUCACCAUCAAAGAUAAACUAUAUUUCGGUAACUUCAAUCACAGUCACGAGGCUCGUAUACACAACCUUAUUUGCAAAUUAAUUUCUUAUGAAAGGAGCCAAGCUUGGCUCCAAUAAUUUGGUAAUGGCAGAUGCAUCGAACUUCGGUAUGAAAUUGACAACCCUAAAGUUCUUUUUGGCCCUUUCUAUUCAAGGUCAAAGAAACUUUUUUAGCUAGCUUAUCUCAACCUUCACACUUCGUGCACAUGCCGUACACAUGGGUUUUGAUUUUCAUGCCAUCGAUCAAAGUUUCAAACUUGAAUCGGUAAUGUUUGAUUGGCCUAUCAAUUGAUGGAUCAGUUUCCUGGAUUUGCAACUCACCAAUCAUCCAAAUUACUCAUACAAUUGCCAAUUUAAUGUACACACACACCAUGGAAUUAUCUUAUAGAUGUUAACGUUUAUAUAAUUUUUUUUUGUAAAAAAAAAAAACUUUCUAAGAAAAUGGAGAAAAAUAUUUUGUAAUAUUAAGGUCGAUCACUUUGAAACAUAAUUAAUUAAGCUACUAAGAAACAACAUCCACAUAUGUACCACUAAUUAAUAGAAUCUACAACAAGAAUAAACAGAAAAAGAAUUACAUCAACAUAAUAUUUAAGAGUGCUCUUAUCUACUGUAAAGUAUGUAUUGAUAAAUUACGAGUCCUCUAGUUUUAUAAUAAUUAAAAAAAUUUAAUUGAUCUUUCAGAUUUUCUAAGUAAAAGGUUGCUAAUGUAAUAGAAAAUAUAUGAUGACUCUAUUUAUUAUACGUAAAAUAAGUUGUAUUAUUUUUUAUUUUAAAAUUAAAUGUGUUCAUUAUGCUUAGGGAUAAUCAAAACCUAAUGUUUUUUUUAUUUUAGAUUUAAACUAAAGAGUGGUUUUGGAUUUGAGCUCGAGAAGACUCAAUCCUUACUUUGACGAAAGACAUGUAUUGGACCUCACAUAAACAUGUAGUCACCAAUUUAAAUAUCCAAUAAUCAACCUUUAAAGAUAGGAAUUGAGAAUGGUCAUCUGAUCCUAGAUCGAGCUCUCAACAUAUAUGACAUCAAAUAUUCAACACAACCACCAAAAAUACAUAAACAAUAUACUAAGACAGCUAAAUAUGUAUUCAUCAAUUUUAAUACAUGGGCAAAACACCACAAACAAUUGUGAUUUAAUAUAUGAUUUUGUUUGUUCCUUUUGGUUUGAUUAUUAUCAUAGUUAAGGUUGAAUUUUUGUUUAUUUUGAGGCUAAAUUUGGUCGAUUUUUGUAUGGAUUUGGGUUAGAAGUUGUUGGGUUUAUAGUGACUGGUGUUUGCUCUAAUUGUGUUGUGUGAGAAUGAUGACAAUUACUAUUGUCGUGUGGGAUCAAUGAGGGAGAGAGUUAGUUGUUAUUGAACUAAGAAAAGACUAGUAUGGUUCGAGGAAAUCGGGGAAGGGAGAGUAGGGUUGCAAUUGUUGGUGUCACGGUUAUUAUAGAGGAGAGGAGUUUGUAUGGGAUUGUUGUGGUGGAAGAGACGAGUUUGUUAAAAAAUGAUGGUUAUUCUCAGUGAGGGGACUGAUCGGGAGAGAAGAAGAAUCACAUCCAUAUGGAGAGAUUGUUUUUUGGUGAGGGGUUGUCGGUAGUUAAGUGUCCUAGUUUUUUUUCUUUUACUUUUGCUAGGUUCUUUUUCCCCUACCUCUAUGUUCUUUUAUAGGUAUCUCAAGCCCUUAUUUAUAAUGGUGAACCCUAGGAAAAUAAAACCUAGUGUAAAUAGUACCACAAUUAAAACUAAAUCAAAUAUAGGAACUAGGGUAAAUGGGCAUGGCAAAUAAGCUGGCAUGUGCAACGCAGGUUCUAGUGGGUAAGAGACAUCCACGAUGUUCAAGCGGUGCAUGAUGAGUCACUUGGUGGCCAAACGACAACUUCUAUGGAGGUGUUGGAAGCAUCUAUUUGCACUUUUCUUGGUGGUCCGACACAUGUUGGUAGAAGCAUGACAGUUGAGAUCCAACAAUCUUUUUUUCUUCUCCUCUUGCUUUUCUCUCUCCUCUCCUCAGGAAUCAUGUUGGCCUGCAAAAAAAAAAACAUAUCCUGUCAUUUGUUUUUUUUUAAUCAAAUUUGUUCCUUAUUGUUUUGAUUACUAUUUUUUUUUUGAAUCAUUUUAUUGAUUGAUUUUUUUAAUUUCAUCCAUUUGUAUUUGAUUUCAUUUAAUUUUUAUAUCAACUUUGAUCCUCGAUCUUUUUAUUAUGAUUUUUUAAUUGAUUUAUUUUUUUUAUUUUCAUCACUCAACAUUCAGUUUCAUUUUAUUUUUAUCUCAAAUUUGUUCUUAUCAUUUAGAUUGCUAUUUGUUUUUUUUUCUUUUUUGAUUGAUUGUUUUUUUUUUCAAUUUCACCCCUCAAUAUUUUAUUGAUUGCGGAUUUAGCUUCAUGAUUUUUUUUAUUUGACUUAUAUGGGGUUAGUCUUAGCCUUACGAUCUAGGUUACAAGUUUUAAAGAUUGGUCCGAGUUAACUUUGGUUUUUUUAGGUCCUUUUUAAUUUACUUUUUCAAUUUUAUUAUUUAACAUUGGGUUGGUUGGGGAUUAAAUUUCAUGAUUUUUUCACUUUCCUUUCUAAGAGGUCAUUCCGAUCUUAUAUCUCAUAUCAUGGGCUUAGCAGGUUAACCCGAGUUGACUCGAGUUUUUUUUUUAAUUAAUUUUUUUAAUUUCAAUUUUCAACAUUAAAUUUUAUUUAAUCAUAUUAUUAAACUAGCUACUCUUAUUGAACCAAGUCAUUUAAGUUUUUUUCACUUCUUUAAAAUUACUAACAUUGCAUCAAUAAUUUAUUUUUUUUAUAUUUAAAAUAAAGCCCGCGGCGUAUCAGUCACCAAUAUACUAUAAGUUAAGACUAUUGUAUAUAUAUAUAUAUAUAUAUAUAUAUAUAUAUAUAUAUAUAUAUAAACUUUUGGAAAGGAGCAUGAAAGUGAAACCCUCGUGAAAAAAACAGGUUCCAGUACUCGAAAGGUAAGAUAGAUUGGCGAAGACGCCAUCUCCUAGCUAGCGGGGGAUGGUCUUAGGCUGGUCUAACUUUAAUGUCUGUAACUUUGCAUGAACUCAUCCAAGAUCAAUGAACUGACAAGUGAUAAGGACUCCAUUUCCAUUAAUUUCUUUCUUUUACCCUAACGAGUUGCGUAAACUUCUAGAGCUGCAGUCCUCUAUGCAUUAAUUGUCAAUUCACCCAAAUCAAUAGAGCUACCUUAUGUAACUUGCGUGGCUACUCAAAAUUUUAUAUAGUGUUAAAUAUGAAUACCAAAGGCACUAGGUGAAGCACCCAGCCCUCCUUAUUGGAUCUAAUUAGAAAAUUCCGAUCAUAAUCGAAAAAAUCCAGCCAUGAUCCUGCUCCCUUAACUAGUGAGCACACGAUAUGAUGACACUUUAUAAAAUACAUAUUUUUACAAUAAUAAAAUAGAUAUUAGUAAGAAAGUAUGAUGAUUAGAAAUACUUAAUGGAAAUUACCUUUUUUUAUUCAUAUAAUUUUUCUGUUUUGACAAGAAUAUACUUUUUUUUAUUAUCAACAUGGUUUAUUGGAUAUAAGAUAAUGACAAUUAAAAGAGAUAUUUGCAAAAAUUCUAAUAACUUGAAUUAAAGAAAAAAAUUAUCUUUUUAAUAAGAAAAAACUCCAUUUUUUUAAUAGAUUAGCCAAUGCAUCAUUCGUCUUUUUUAUUUAUUUAUUUAUUUUUUUAAAUAGACAAGACAAUACAUCAUCUACUUAGACAAUCUAUGCGCUAUCUUUGGGUGUAAAUUUCAAUCACCUCAGGUGACUAGAAAUUUGGUGUCCAAGUUGUUGGAUCUCCCAAGUCUUUUUUUCAACUUGUUUUUAUUUGAAAAUAUCCACAUAAAAAAACAUCAUAUAAAAACCUCAAAAUAAUUGUUUCCAAUCCAAAACAACAAUUAAUCACUCAAAAACAAGAAAAUCAAAACAAGUUAAAAAAAAAAACCUUGCUAGGCCUAUAUUUGUUUUUUUCUGUUAUAGUCAGAUGACACAACCACCUCCAUUGAAUUCUUUUAUCCAAGAUAAGCCAUUAACACCAAGCUCAUAUUUCUUUAUGGUCAUAAUGUGAUUGUCCUUGCACUUUUUCUCUCUUUUUUUUACAACUCUCUCUCUCUUAUCAUAACUUAGAGACAGAAACAUGGUAAAAAUGAAGUUAGAAAACCAAAACAAACAAACCUACAACUACAAGGACCAAGUACAAAAAAAUGAAACUUUGUUAUGAUUUUUUCCAUGAUUUAUCAAUAAAAAAACGUUUAAGAAGAAUCUUAGCUCAAAAAGUUAAGUUGUAAAGUUAAAUUUAAGAAAUAAUUUUAUAUUACUAUCUAACACAUCAUUUUAUUUCAAAGUUUUUUAAAUUUAAAAUUAGUACAAACUUACUACAAUCUUACACUUAAUUUGAUUUUAUUAAUCUAAUUAAUACUAAUGAAAUAGGUAAAAAUCAUUUUAUCUUUAAAUUUUUGAUAAUAUAUUAAAGAAUAAUUUCAAUCUAAAAAGUUAAAAAGUUAAAUAAAGUAUAAAAUAAUUUUAUAUUAUUCUUUAUUAUUAAAAACAAUUUGAGGAAUUUGUAUAAAUUGUAACAGAAAUUGCUUGAAAUUAAGAUUGCAAUAUUGUAGAAAUUAAAUCCGUAUGCGAGCAUAAAGGGUCCUUUUCUAGUCAUUGAAGAUGACCAAUAAACCAGCCUAGCCUGGAUAAAGAUCGUCAGGGAGGGGGGUGCCAUCGCUGCUGCAGGGAGGGGUCAUUUCCCAGAAGAGAGCCUAAUUAAUGCCACACACGUGCAUGGGUUGAUAGGGGUCUUUAAUCUAUACGACAUCUUCAUGUUUUCAUUCGGAAUUUUCCAAAUAACACAUCAAUUCCAUUUACUGUGCGGAGGACAGAAACUUUUGAUGGAGAGAACAACAUCAACAUGUGGGAUCGAAAACCAUCUUCUCUUGCUAUGACUUUUCUUUCUUCCUGUGUUUACCAUACCUUUGGCACCAUUUUGGUAACAUAUUAUGGACUGCAAAUCUGUGCUGUAUAUAUGAUGCCCUAUCUCGAGCCUAUCCCUUCUCUGAAGAAAAAACGUGUUGGGUUGUUUAUCAAACCCUAAUGAGUUUCUACGGAUCUCAACAGCUAGUAAUGAUGCCACCCAAUUCUUCGUGUGUUCUGAUUCACGUUUCAACAUCUUGUAGAUAUUUCAAUCAUGGCCUUGGCCAGUAGUUUCCAGGGAUCAUGUUUCGUCUUUCAAUGGUUAUGGUUAGUAUGAUGCCACGUUGGGGUGCCUUUCCAGCGCCCGUGAAGCUGCCGCCCAAGCAAUUGAGUCCCAGCAAUAUUCAUGAAUUCUUUCUUCUGUUUUUUCCAAUCGUAUCUCAGAUUCUCAAUAAUAAUUAAAUGCAGUUAAUAAUGGACUGCUCGGUUAUUUAUUUGAAAAUAAAAUACUUCAAAGAUCUUUCCAAGUUUAUGACAUAAAACACAAUAGACAUUCUUCUUUACAUACAAGUUUAUGUUAAAAUAUAUGCAUAGACUUCUUUGUCUUCAUUUCAAGAAUCUAAACUGUUGGAAUAAAAAAGCUACUCUACCAGCAACAGUGUCCUUUCAUUUUCAGCUUCGGGCGGCAGAGAGAGUGGUUGCUGCAAAUAAUUGCACAAUAAUACCUAAUUUAAAUCAUGCAGGCCGUGGUCGUCGUACAGUGAAUGCUAUCUUAUGCAUACACGUUUGCACACCACAACUCUUAACAAACCCCCAUGGGCUUCACUCAACAGCAUUGUUGAAUUAUACAUUAAAACGAAGAAGCAUGUUGGUAUGUAUUUGAAUUUUUGGUUUGAUUUUGUGUUUAAAAUUGUAUUUGAAUGUAUUUUAAAAGUUUAUCUGAUUUGAAAAUUUUCAAAUUAAUAUGUUUUUUUAAUGUUAUUUGAUUAUUUUAAUAUAUUAAUGUAAAAAAAAUAAUUUUAAUACAUUUUAAAAUAAAAAAUACUUUUAAAAAAAUCCAUACAUUAUCAAACACACAUUCUAGAAAAACCAUACUCUCAACAACUGGUCCCAGAGGGAAAAUAUCGGAAAACUGCUGGUCAUAGCUACUGAAUUCCUAGCUAAUAGUGAUCCCUCACAACUCUGAAUUUAUGUGUGGAUAAGAAUAAAAGAAAUAAGAAGUAUAAAAUAAUUUUAAAUCAAUUAAGGCUAGUAAUAACAUUAUUUCUAAUAAAAUAAAUGUAACUAAGAAAUUAAUAUUUUUUAUUACUUUCAUGAUUAAAUAGAAAUUAAUAUCAACUAGUUCUUAUAUUUUAUUUUAUCCUAAAAUGUUUAAUUUGCAUUUUAUUCUCAAUUGUACAAAAAAAAUCCAUUUCUUUUUUAUCCACUUUUAGAUUGUUUAGGCAAAUAUUAAAGAUUAGUUGGGAGAUCUGCAUGUUGUAAAAUUUUAAUAUUUAAAAAACAUAAGUUAACCGAUACAAAUUAAUGGGUCACAAAAUAUAUGAAAAUUAUAUUGAGUUAUAAUUGGAGCUAGGAUAGUCCACUUCACAUUAUUCGUACGUAUAAAAUAUACUUCUUGCGACUUUUCCUAAUAUUUGAAUGAUAACUUAAAUUACUAUUAGAAUGAAAUGUAAUGUGAUCUUAAUAAUUGAAUUAACACUUACUUAAAAUGUUAUUAUGUAUUCCCUAUUAUUUUUUUACUAUCUUUUACACAUACAUUAUUCAAGUACAUAUUUAAUAUUUUCUAUGAAAUAAUAAUCUUUAAAAUUUUGUAUGAUUUUUUUAUAAUCAUAAUUUAAAUUUAAGUAAUUUCCAUGUCAUGUCAUUAGAAGAAAUUCUCUGUUUUUCUAAAAAACAAAAGCUGAAAAAAUAUAAAAUAAGAAAGAAAUUUUUUUAAUGCACUUAAUGUAAAAUAUUUUCAAUUUAAAAAAUAUAUUGUCAUUUUUAUUAAAAAAUAAAAAGGGUUUGAGUAUAUGAUGAUAACGAAUAUUAUCAAAUAUAAAAGUAAAAAAGCAUAAUAAAUUAAAAUAUAAAAUAUUUUUAUAUUUUUUAUUAUCUGUAAUUGAAAACUCUUUAAAAGUUCCCAAAACAAAUCAAAUAUAAAAUUAAAAACAUGAUAAAUUAUAAUAUAAAAUAUUUUUAUAUUUUGUUAUAUGUAGAAUUGAAAACUCUUUAAUAGUUUCCAAAAUAAAUAAAACUCGUUAAAACAUUAGAUGUUAGAUAAAAGUUUUGCUUAGUAAAUAUUCUACUAACUUUUAAUUAAUACUAUAAUAUAAGUAUCAUAGUUUUUAAUCAGUCAUAAUAUUAAUAAAGAUAGAGUUUUUUUUGUCAAAAAGAGUAAACUUGUUUCAUUUAAUGGAGUCAAAAUCAACGAAAGGCAAAAAAACAAUGGUCUCCUAUAAAAAAUAAUUAAUAUCCAAUUUAACAAUUUACUAUGUUUUGAUCUAAGUUUAUUAGUUUUAGUGUUAAUUAUUAUGGGAUGAAUAGAAAUUAAAUACAUAGACAUGAGUACUAAAACAACCCAAUGAAUUUCUCAAAGGGGUCUUAUUUUAUAUUACUAGUGAUUUUAGAAAGAAAUAAUAAAAUAUUGAUGAUAACAUAAGACAAUUACGUCGAAAGAUCCUUAUUUAAAAAAUUAAUAAGUUUAUUUAAUAAUCUGAUAUAAAUUUUCAAUGUUAUUUUAUUAUUUUUUAGAACUCCAUAGAACCGAACUUCCAUGUUAUAGCACAGUACCGUGUACCUAGCAAUUAUAAACCAGGAAGAGACGUACUGUAAAUUUCAGUCUACAGUUCAGCACUGGAGAUGGAGCCAUGAUGCUUGCAGAUAAAUCCACAAGGAAAAGGCCAUGAAAGAAAAUAGCAAUUGAACGAACAUUCAGGAGGAUAAUCCACUGUAGUUGACCUAAUGGAGAGGGAAUUAAGUAAUUCGCUUACUGAAACUGACAAGACACAGAUUUAACUCUUGAUGUGCAUCGCCUUGCAUGCACUUAUAAUCAUGUAAUGAUAAUUCACAAUGCAAUCCUGUCAACAAAAAGUAACAAUGUCUUAGUUCAAUCGCUAUACAGACAGCACAGAUUAGGAAAAACAAAAACAGUGUUUAGAUUUCUAUCAUUGUUAUCCUGAAAUGUUGCCUCUGCACCAUCUCUAAUACCUAACCCUUGGUUCAUUUUGCAUCAAGUCUACAGCCAGUGGUACACAAUUAUGUAGGCCUGUAAGCGCUAGGUAUAAUCAGAUCAAAUGGCAUUUCAACUUUCCAAGACACAUGUUGCUGGCCCCAGUAUAAUGAACACUUUGUGCCGUCUAAUCUACUUAACUGUCACUGGUAGUUUAAGUUCUCAGAAUUGUUCUAGUGAUUUCCAAUACAAACUUCCUUUCUCCAUCAACAGAAUGACAUAUUAACUGUUUGUCAUGUUAAGUUGAGCAAACUGGACCUGAGAUUUUGAAGGUCGAGACACUUGCAACUAUGAAAACAUCUACGGAUCAAACUCGAGCUCAACAAACUAAGAGUGUUAUAUGAUAGAAUUAAGUGCUCAUUUCCGACAAGUUGAUGAAAACAAACCGAAUCUUAAAACAUAGUUCACGCUCUGCACACUCGACGCAUACAUA
This 36758-nucleotide long non-coding RNA is filed under the name Populus trichocarpa (black cottonwood). RNAcentral's name for it is "long non-coding RNA (PTRI_LNC004052)". Lineage: Eukaryota; Viridiplantae; Streptophyta; Magnoliopsida; Malpighiales; Salicaceae. The record is from RNAcentral.